GAGCAUUCUGUAGCUGUAUUUUACAGAACUGUAAUUGCACAGAUUGUUCCUCUUACAAGAGAAAUAUCCAGAGCUCUAAGAAAACAACUGAUGAAAACGACAUGCGUGACAUUUGGUGCUGAAGACCCGGGUCAGAGAGACUCCUUUGGGGGACCAGUCCCCUGUCCUUGCCCUCACUCCGUGAGGAGACCCACCUACGACCUCAGGUCCUCAGACCAACCAGCUCAAGGAACAUCUCACCAAUUUCAAAUCGGGACCCCACUGGAAAUUGGACUGUCCAACUCACCCAACAGCCACUCCCAGAGCCCCUGGAACUCUGGCCCAAGGCUCUCUGACUGACUCCUUCCCAGAUCUUCUCGGCUCAGCAGCUGAAGACUGACACUGCUUGAUUGCCUGGGAAGCCUAUGGGACCAUCACAGACACUUUGGAUAACUCUUACGGUGAAGGACAAAAGAGCGCCACCGCAGGGAGGAAUGCCAGGGUCCCAUAGAGGGAGACCGACAGUGAAGUGGAGCCUGCCAUGAAUUCACCAAAGGCCAUUCUCCCUUUCUUCCAGAAGAACAGCAUUUAGCUGGGCCUAUGGCUACCUACCUAAAGACUGCACCUCUUAGUCACCCUUGUGGCUAGGUGUGGCCACGUGACAAUGGAAUGUAAGUGGAAGUGAUGUAUGCACUUGGGUUCACUGGUUUUAAAAAAAAUAUGACCGCCCUACAUUUCCACUCUUUGUCUUAUCUGUGAAUGGGAACAUGGCUGUGUCUGCAGCCCGACUUUGUGCAGCAAAGUACAAGGCCCUAGGGGAAGGUGGAGAAACAAGAUGGAACAACUUGGACCCAACAACUUGGAUCCCUAUGUGGCCAUGUGGAGUCAUCUCACCCACCUGGGCCACUCACCCCGAAGACUGUUGUGUGAGGGUGAAAUAAACUUCUGUAUCACUAGCCCCUGCAUUUCAGAAAUUCUUUGUUAUGGCAGUUUUGCCUUUAUCCUAACACAGACAGCAAAGUAUCUUCUGUGGCCCCAUGACUAAUAUCGUUGUUUAAACUCAUUAUAAAAACUAUAUAAAUAAAAUAUUAAAAAUCAAAUAAAAUAGCAAGAUAACACUGUGUAACUAUCCAGUUUUAGAUGUUAUUACCUUUUUGGCCUAUUUACCUCAUCUAUUUUCUCCAAGGGUUUUUAAAGAAGAGUCAUGCUUGUUAUUUUAAAUUAUCUGCAGUGCUCCUUGGUCUUAUAAAACUAUGGGUUAUUUCAAACUUCGGUAAAUGUCUGAUACACAUGAACUUCUUGCAUUGUUAAGGAAAUCAGAGAAAAAUGAUGCUGUUUUUCCCUUGUAAGUUGACAAUGGAUGGAGAUGAAACCACCUUUGCAAAAUUAUGGCAAUAAGAGAAAUUGGACAUGGCAGACUCCAUCUUGCUUUUAGCCUCACAGGUUGGCUGUCUUGGCUCAUUCCUGGGCAUGAGCCAAGCUAACUUUGGCAGAAAUUGAGUUUAUAGUGUAAACGAUAAUAGCCUUUCCCCAAAACUAAACUACCCUUGUAAAAUUAAUGAAAGGCCACCAAGUUAGGAGGAUGAGAAGGGCCUGAAUUCAGCCAUUAUUCUGGAAGUCACAAGAUGUGCAACCUCCCCAGUUACUCCUGUAAAUAACUUCAGUAUUGUAGAACCUAAGAUUGGCCUUUUGACAGCCUUUUGCAUUUCUGACAACUAGAUGGCCCCACGCAGACCCGUGACUCAACCAGUCCUAUAGCCUUCAUCCAAAAAUGGACUCAGUGCAUGAGGACUGUUUUCCACACCCUUAUGAUUGCAUCCCAAACCAAUCAGCAGCACCCAUACCCUAUCCCCUGCACAGCAAACUAUCUUUAAGAAACUCCUAACCUCUGAUUCUUUGGUGAGAUUGAUUUAAGUAAUAACUCUGUCUCCCACAUGGCGUGGCUGGCCUCGUGUC
Long non-coding RNA from Pan troglodytes (chimpanzee), 1935 nucleotides. RefSeq lists it as uncharacterized. The transcript has 4 exons. The record is from RefSeq and is a predicted model, not a curated record. Lineage: Eukaryota; Metazoa; Chordata; Mammalia; Primates; Hominidae.